Molecule: small RNA, 74 nt
Filed under: Lutibacter agarilyticus
Lineage: Bacteria; Pseudomonadati; Bacteroidota; Flavobacteriia; Flavobacteriales; Flavobacteriaceae
Description: Flavo-1 RNA
Source: RNAcentral
GUAAUGCGUGAGCGGUUGAAGCGGCAUCCUUUUGCUUUUUUUAGCAAAAGAUAUAGCGGAAGACGCGACGGCAA